This 467-nucleotide ribosomal RNA is filed under the name uncultured soil bacterium. Its description in RNAcentral is "bacterial SSU rRNA". It matches the Rfam family "Bacterial small subunit ribosomal RNA", at positions 26 to 518 of the family's 1533-position model. The record is from RNAcentral.
AGGACGAACGCUAGCGGCGUGCCUAAGGUAUGCAAGUCGAACGGGGAAGCAAUUCCUAGUGGCGAACGGUCGAGUAACACGUAGACAACCUGCCUCCCAGCGGGGGAUACCAGCGGGAAACCGCUGCUAAUACCGCAUUCGAUCCGCAGGGAUAGCCCUGUUGGAUGAAAGCCGCUUGCGGCACUGGGAGAUGGGUCUGCGGCCUAUCAGCUCGUUGGUGGGGUAACGGCCCACCAAGGCGACGACGGGUAGCUGGUCUGAGAGGAUGAUCAGCCGGACGGGGACUGAGACACGGCCCCGACUCCUUCGGGAGGCAGCAAUGAGGAAUCUUGCGCAAUGGGGGCAACCCUGACGCAGCGACGCCGCGUGGGUGAGGAAGUCCUUCGGAGUGUAAAGCCCGUUUCUUGGGGGACGAGAACGGACGGUACCCGAGAAGAAGACCCGGCUAACUACGUGCCAGCAGCCGC